This 230-nucleotide long non-coding RNA is filed under the name Actinidia chinensis (golden kiwifruit). Its description in RNAcentral is "long non-coding RNA (ACHI_LNC007555)". Lineage: Eukaryota; Viridiplantae; Streptophyta; Magnoliopsida; Ericales; Actinidiaceae. The record is from RNAcentral.
UCCGACUCGUGGGUGAAUUCAAGUCGGAAUCAAGUCACACGUAGUUCUAAGUAAUAAAAACUUUUUUUCGGUGAACCGGUUCGUUUAAUAUUGUGAUUGCACCCACGGGUUGAGUUACCCAUAUCUAUGUCCGCGUUCCGACUCGAUCAAGUCAACCUAGUUCCUGGGUAAAGAAAUUUUGAGUCAAGUCAACACGGUCCCCCACCUGGAUGAGACUCUAACACGAUGAC